Molecule: ribosomal RNA, 414 nt
Filed under: uncultured microorganism
Description: bacterial SSU rRNA
Rfam family: Bacterial small subunit ribosomal RNA
Source: RNAcentral
GAGUUUGAUCAUGGCUCAGAUUGAACGCUGGCGGCAUGCCUUACACAUGCAAGUCGAACGGUAACAGGUCUUCGGAUGCUGACGAGUGGCGAACGGGUGAGUAAUACAUCGGAACGUGCCCAGACGUGGGGGAUAACGAGGCGAAAGCUUUGCUAAUACCGCAUACGAUCUAAGGAUGAAGCAGGGGACCGCAAGGCCUUGCGCGUUUGGAGCGGCCGAUGGCAGAUUAGGUAGUUGGUGGGAUAAAAGCUUACCAAGCCGACGAUCUGUAGCUGGUCUGAGAGGACGACCAGCCACACUGGGACUGAGACGCGGCCCAGACUCCUACGGGAGGCAGCAGUGGGGAAUUUUGGACAAUGGGCGAAAGCCUGAUCCAGCAAUGCCGCGUGCAGGAUGAAGGCCUUCGGUUGUAAC